Molecule: ribosomal RNA, 460 nt
Filed under: uncultured bacterium
Lineage: Bacteria
Description: partial 16S ribosomal RNA
Rfam family: Bacterial small subunit ribosomal RNA
Source: RNAcentral
CCUACGGGAGGCAGCAGUGAGGAAUAUUGGUCAAUGGACGAGAGUCUGAACCAGCCAAGUAGCGUGAAGGAUGACUGCCCUAUGGGUUGUAAACUUCUUUUAUAUGGGAAUAAAAUGUUCCACGUGUGGGAUUUUGUAUGUACCAUAUGAAUAAGGAUCGGCUAACUCCGUGCCAGCAGCCGCGGUAAUACGGAGGAUCCGAGCGUUAUCCGGAUUUAUUGGGUUUAAAGGGAGCGUAGGUGGAUUGUUAAGUCAGUUGUGAAAGUUUGCGGCUCAACCGUAAAAUUGCAGUUGAAACUGGCAGUCGUGAGUACAGUAGAGGUGGGCGGAAUUCGUGGUGUAGCGGUGAAAUGCUUAGAUAUCACGAAGAACUCCGAUUGCGAAGGCAGCUCACUGGAUUGCAACUGACACUGAGGCUCGAAAGUGUGGGUAUCAAACAGGAUUAGAUACCCCAGUAGUC